Molecule: ribosomal RNA, 253 nt
Filed under: uncultured bacterium
Lineage: Bacteria
Description: partial 16S ribosomal RNA
Rfam family: Bacterial small subunit ribosomal RNA
Source: RNAcentral
UACAGAGGUCCCAAGCGUUGUGCGGAUUCACUGGGCGUAAAGGGUUCGUAGGUGGUCGGGUAAGUCUGAUGUGAAAUCUCACAGCUUAACUGUGAAACUGCAUUGGAUACGAUUCGGCUUGAGAGUUGGAGGGGGGACUGGAAUUCUUGGUGUAGCAGUGAAAUGCGUAGAUAUCAAGAGGAACACCAGUGGCGAAGGCGAGUCCCUGGACAACUUCUGACGCUGAGGCACGAAAGCUAGGGGAGCAAACAGG